RNAcentral lists this ribosomal RNA (433 nucleotides) under uncultured bacterium. RNAcentral's name for it is "partial 16S ribosomal RNA". It matches the Rfam family "Bacterial small subunit ribosomal RNA", at positions 29 to 507 of the family's 1533-position model. The record is from RNAcentral.
AACGAACGCUGGCGGCAUGCCUAACACAUGCAAGUCGAACGAGACCUUCGGGUCUAGUGGCGCACGGGUGCGUAACGCGUGGGAACCUGCCCUUAGGUUCGGAAUAACUCCCCGAAAGGGGUGCUAAUACCGGAUAAUGUCUUCGGACCAAAGAUUUAUCGCCUUUGGAUGGGCCCGCGUUGGAUUAGCUAGUUGGUAGGGUAAAAGCCUACCAAGGCGACGAUCCAUAGCUGGUCUGAGAGGAUGAUCAGCCACACUGGGACUGAGACACGGCCCAGACUCCUACGGGAGGCAGCAGUGGGGGAUAUUGGACAAUGGGCGAAAGCCUGAUCCAGCAAUGCCGCGUGAGUGGUGAAGGCCUUAGGGUUGUAAAGCUCUUUUACCCGGGAUGAUAAUGACAGUACCGGGAGAAUAAGCGCCGGCUAACUCCGUG